Molecule: ribosomal RNA, 402 nt
Filed under: uncultured bacterium
Lineage: Bacteria
Description: bacterial SSU rRNA
Rfam family: Bacterial small subunit ribosomal RNA
Source: RNAcentral
UGGGGAAUAUUGGACAAUGGGCGAAAGCCUGAUCCAGCAAUGCCGCGUGAGUGAUGAAGGCCUUAGGGUUGUAAAGCUCUUUUACCCGGGAAGAUAAUGACUGUACCGGGAGAAUAAGCUCCGGCUAACUCCGUGCCAGCAGCCGCGGUAAUACGGAGGGAGCUAGCGUUAUUCGGAAUUACUGGGCGUAAAGCGCACGUAGGCGGCUUUGCAAGUUAGAGGUGAAAGCCCGGGGCUCAACCCCGGAAUUGCCUUUAAAACUGCAUCGCUUGAAUCCAGGAGAGGUGAGUGGAAUUCCGAGUGUAGAGGUGAAAUUCGUAGAUAUUCGGAAGAACACCAGUGGCGAAGGCGGCUCACUGGACUGGUAUUGACGCUGAGGUGCGAAAGCGUGGGGAGCAAACA